AUUUGAAUAGCUUAAAUAUAGAGCAUAGCAUUGAAGAUGCUGAGGUGAUAUUUAUAUCUUCAAAUA
This 66-nucleotide transfer RNA is filed under the name Panchlora nivea. RNAcentral describes it as "tRNA-Phe". It matches the Rfam family "tRNA". Rfam says of the family: Transfer RNA (tRNA) molecules are approximately 80 nucleotides in length. Their secondary structure includes four short double-helical elements and three loops (D, anti-codon, and T loops). Further hydrogen bonds mediate the characteristic L-shaped molecular structure. tRNAs have two regions of fundamental functional importance: the anti-codon, which is responsible for specific mRNA codon recognition, and the 3' end, to which the tRNAs corresponding amino acid is attached (by aminoacyl-tRNA synthetases). tRNAs cope with the degeneracy of the genetic code in two manners: having more than one tRNA (with a specific anti-codon) for a particular amino acid; and 'wobble' base-pairing, i.e. permitting non-standard base-pairing at the 3rd anti-codon position. The record is from RNAcentral. Lineage: Eukaryota; Metazoa; Arthropoda; Insecta; Blattodea; Blaberidae.